RNAcentral lists this ribosomal RNA (886 nucleotides) under uncultured Flavobacteriaceae bacterium. RNAcentral's name for it is "bacterial SSU rRNA". It matches the Rfam family "Bacterial small subunit ribosomal RNA", at positions 56 to 946 of the family's 1533-position model. The record is from RNAcentral. Lineage: Bacteria; Pseudomonadati; Bacteroidota; Flavobacteriia; Flavobacteriales; Flavobacteriaceae.
UGCAAGUCGAGGGGUAUAGUUCUUCUGGAGCUAGAGACCGGCGCACGGGCUGCGUAACGCGUAUGCAAUCUACCUUUUACAGAGGGAUAGCCCAGAGAAAUUUGGAUUAAUACCUCAUAGUAUGUGAGAAUCGCAUGGUUUUCACAUUAAAGUUCCAACGGUAAAAGAUGAGCAUGCGUCCCAUUAGCUAGAUGGUAAGGUAACGGCUUACCAUGGCGACGAUGGGUAGGGGUCCUGAGAGGGAGAUCCCCCACACUGGUACUGAGACACGGACCAGACUCCUACGGGAGGCAGCAGUGAGGAAUAUUGGACAAUGGGCGCAAGCCUGAUCCAGCCAUGCCGCGUGCAGGAUGACGGUCCUAUGGAUUGUAAACUGCUUUUGUACAGGAAGAAACACUCCCUCGUGAGGGAGCUUGACGGUACUGUAAGAAUAAGGAUCGGCUAACUCCGUGCCAGCAGCCGCGGUAAUACGGAGGAUCCAAGCGUUAUCCGGAAUCAUUGGGUUUAAAGGGUCCGUAGGCGGUUUAAUAAGUCAGUGGUGAAAGCCCAUCGCUCAACGGUGGAACGGCCAUUGAUACUGUUAAACUUGAAUUAUUAGGAAGUAACUAGAAUAUGUAGUGUAGCGGUGAAAUGCUUAGAGAUUACAUGGAAUACCAAUUGCGAAGGCAGGUUACUACUAAUGGAUUGACGCUGAUGGACGAAAGCGUGGGUAGCGAACAGGAUUAGAUACCCUGGUAGUCCACGCCGUAAACGAUGGAUACUAGCUGUUGGGCGCAAGUUCAGUGGCUAAGCGAAAGUGAUAAGUAUCCCACCUGGGGAGUACGUUCGCAAGAAUGAAACUCAAAGGAAAUGACGGGAGCCCGCACAAGCGGUGGAGCAUGUGGUU